AGUGAACGCUGGCGGUAGGCCUAACACAUGCAAGUCGAACGGCAGCACAGUAAGAGCUUGCUCUUACGGGUGGCGAGUGGCGGACGGGUGAGGAAUACAUCGGAAUCUACUUUUUCGUGGGGGAUAACGUAGGGAAACUUACGCUAAUACCGCAUACGACCUACGGGUGAAAGCAGGGGAUCUUCGGACCUUGCGCGAUUGAAUGAGCCGAUGUCGGAUUAGCUAGUUGGCGGGGUAAAGGCCCACCAAGGCGACGAUCCGUAGCUGGUCUGAGAGGAUGAUCAGCCAAACUGGAACUGAGACACGGUCCAGACUCCUACGGGAGGCAGCAGUGGGGAAUAUUGGACAAUGGGCGCAAGCCUGAUCCAGCCAUACCGCGUGGGUGAAGAAGGCCUUCGGGUUGUAAAGCCCUCUUGUUGGGAAAGAAAAGCAGCAGGUUAAUACCCCGCUGUUCUGACGGUACCCAAAGAAUAAGCACCGGCUAACUUCGUG
This 492-nucleotide ribosomal RNA is filed under the name uncultured bacterium. Its description in RNAcentral is "partial 16S ribosomal RNA". It matches the Rfam family "Bacterial small subunit ribosomal RNA", at positions 29 to 507 of the family's 1533-position model. The record is from RNAcentral.